Molecule: long non-coding RNA, 213 nt
Organism: Pipra filicauda (Wire-tailed manakin)
Lineage: Eukaryota; Metazoa; Chordata; Aves; Passeriformes; Pipridae
Exons: 2
Source: RefSeq, a predicted model, not a curated record
GGUUGCACAAGAUGCCCAAUCCAUCUUCAAGUGAUUCAGGAUAUCUGGAUUUGUGGGUUUCCAUCUGUGAUUUCUCUAAAAGGAAACUGCCACUAUUGAUGCAUUUGAAAGUUUUCAGGAGGAUGCACAAUGGCUGCAUUACAACAAAGUCCAGGAUGGAAAAAGGAAGCUUUCCAACAUUUCAGAGUGGAAAUUAUAAAAUUAGAAAGCUUC